CUGAUCGAGACGCUGGGCCAACGCCUGUGCAGCGUGCCCGAUUCCAGGAGAACGUUGCCUGGGAGCGUCGAAGAAUCAG
RNAcentral lists this non-coding RNA (79 nucleotides) under unclassified sequences. Its description in RNAcentral is "L4-Archaeoglobi ribosomal protein leader". It matches the Rfam family "L4-Archaeoglobi ribosomal protein leades". The record is from RNAcentral.